UUUUUUUUUAACAUUUAUUUAUUUAUGUAUCUUUAGCUUUAGGCGGACACACUAUUUUGAUUUUAUGUGGUGCUGAGGAUCGAAGCCAGUGCCUCACGCCUGCUAGGCGAGCGCCUACCAUGAGCCCCAGCCCCAGCCCCAAGAGAGCAUUUCUGAUGGUGACAAAUGGCAUGAACUGAGGAAUGUGACAGAAAGGGGCUGAAGGGCGGUUAGGGAAGGCAAGUCAGAGAGGGUGACCCCUGACACACAGUGGUGCUGGGGACAGAGGGAGGUAGAGGGUCACACGCGCCAGGCAGCUCUCUGGCCCUGAAGGUGACAUCGGAAUGCUGGACUGCAAGAACCGAAAACGCACCUAAAAGUGGUCUAACCAUAGAGGAAGUUUAUUAUCUCACUUAACGAAGAGGUUCAAGGUACGGUGGUUUUGGAGCGUGCAUAAUUAAACAGCUCAGCAACCCCAUCAAAGAGCCAGGCUCCUGGGCUGGGGAUGUGGCUCAGGGGUCGAAUGCUAACCUAGCAUGCAUCGAGGCCCAUGUUCAAUCCCCAGUACCACAGACAGCAACAGAAACAGACCCAGGGUCCUUCUCUCUUUUCUCUGUUGAUCUUAAUCCAUCCAUCACUCCUCUUGAGGUUACAAAAUGGCUGCAGCAACUCCAGGCAUCACAUUGCCAUACGAAAGACCAGAAAAGAGAGGAAGGAGUUUCCCUUUCUUACAUCCCUUUUAUGGAAGUAGGAAAAUUUCCCUUUAAUCUCCCUGGCAGGCUUUCUCUCACAUCUCUUUGAUCAGUACAAGGCACACCCUUUCCUGAACCUGUCCUAUGCAAGAGGAAUGGAGUUAGCAGUGCCACCAAUUUAUUGAAAGAAUAAACGAGAAUCUUUGGUCAGAAGGCCAAGACCAAGACCACAGAACAAAUUACUACAUUGUGUGUGUGUGUGUGUGUGUGUGUGUGUUACCAGGGAUUGAACCUAGGGGCCCUCAACCACUGAACCACAUCCCAAGCCCUUUUUAUUUCUUAUUUUGAGACAGCGACUCACUAAGCUAUUUUAUGGCCUCACUAAGUUGCUGAGGCUGGCCUCCAAUUUGCCAUCCUCCUGUCUCAGCCUUCCAAGUCACUAGGAUUACAGGCAUGCGCCCCUGCACUGGAC
RNAcentral lists this long non-coding RNA (1143 nucleotides) under Marmota monax (woodchuck). The record is from RNAcentral. Lineage: Eukaryota; Metazoa; Chordata; Mammalia; Rodentia; Sciuridae.